GAAUUACUGGGCGUAAAGCGCACGCAGGCGGUCUGUCAAGUCGGAUGUGAAAUCCCCGGGCUCAACCUGGGAACUGCAUUCGAAACUGGCAGGCUUGAGUCUUGUAGAGGGGGGUAGAAUUCCAGGUGUAGCGGUGAAAUGCGUAGAGAUCUGGAGGAAUACCGGUGGCGAAGGCGGCCCCCUGGACAAAGACUGACGCUCAGGUGCGAAAGCGUGGGGAGCAAACAGGAUUAGAUACCCUGGUAGUCCACGCCGUAAACGAUGUCUACUUGGAGGUUGUGCCCUUGAGGCGUGGCUUCCGGAGCUAACGCGUUAAGUAGACCGCCUGGGGAGUACGGCCGCAAGGUUAAAACUCAAAUGAAUUGACGGGGGCCCGCACAAGCGGUGGAGCAUGUGGUUUAAUUCGAUGCAACGCGAAGAACC
RNAcentral lists this ribosomal RNA (423 nucleotides) under Salmonella enterica subsp. enterica serovar Weltevreden. Its description in RNAcentral is "bacterial SSU rRNA". It matches the Rfam family "Bacterial small subunit ribosomal RNA", at positions 548 to 970 of the family's 1533-position model. RNAcentral also lists the same sequence under 1 other name. The record is from RNAcentral. Lineage: Bacteria; Pseudomonadati; Pseudomonadota; Gammaproteobacteria; Enterobacterales; Enterobacteriaceae.